Ceratotherium simum simum (southern white rhinoceros) is the source of this 922-nucleotide non-coding RNA. NCBI's taxonomy places the organism in Eukaryota, Metazoa, Chordata, Mammalia, Perissodactyla, Rhinocerotidae. The record is from RefSeq and is a predicted model, not a curated record.
UACAAACUGCUCAAUUAUUGCUCUUCCAAAAGAAAAUUAUAAUUGAAUGGGAACAGAUCAUUGACACAGAACAACAAAAUGCAGAAAUUAGAACAAUUUAUUAUAAACAUUUGCAGAAUAUAAACUGAUUUUGUAUAAAGAUUCUUUGAAACUUUUAAAACUAUAGGUAACCUAUAGUUUUAAAAUAAAAUAAUUAUUAUUAAUCAUUAUUAUUAUAAUGUAUUUCAUUUUCCACUUUCCAAUCUAGAAAAUACACUAAGUUAGAUCUAACAAAGGAAAAAAAAAAUCAAUCUAAAUUGCCUCAUAGAGAAAACUAAUGAAUAUGAAAAUACCCCACACAAAACUAUAACAAACCCAAACAAGAAAUAGAUUCUGCAAAGCCCAUUAAUCCUCCAAUUUAAAAUAAAUGACCUCCUGAGAAAAAAAUACUUCCACCAGCAUAGCAAUUUGAUGAAUAAAAGCAGAGCUACUCUCAUGAAGAGAAAUUACAUUAUAUAUAAGAAAAAUGUAAUAAUGCUUUUAGAAAAUGAGGAAAAAGGAAAAGUAAUUUCUAUGUUGGAGAGUAAACAUACUAAAUACUUCCUGUUCACUUGGCCUUUGUUAGAAGUUAAAAUACCUGUUCACAUGCGAAAAGUGAUAUGAACAUGAACAUCAUAAAACCAAGGUCCUCAACUAUUUUUUCAAUUUAACCUCAGGAGAACCAACUCAAGAGAUUCAAAAUCCAAGGAUAGACUGGUCCCAAAGCAUUUCCUCCUCUGUUCUUUCUUUGCCUUCUUCCUUUUUCUCUUUUCUAUGCUUACGUUCCUCUUUCUUAGAGGCUACAUCUUGACUUUUUUUCUCCUUUCGAUUCUUAAGCUUUUGUGUACUGACCCUGACUGUUUCUACCUCUUUUUUGUUUCUUUGGAUGCUCUUGUGUUUGUCU